CUGCAGUGUGUGUUCGUGUGGGUUGUGUUGUCGUGGCCAUGAAGGAGCACUGUCGUGUCAAGCCGGCAAGCGACGGUGUCACCUUUAAGCCAUGUCUGUGGUGUAACAACCACAGGUGUGGAUGGGUGUUGGGCGGUGCUCUGCACGCGUUGUGGAGCCUGUCGGCUCGUCUGCAUGCCUUUGGAUGCCCUUGAAAAGGUGUCGCGGGCGAUGGCACGUUUACUUUGAACAAAUUUGAGUGCUCAAGGCAGGCCGUUGUUGCCUGAAAAGUUUUGCAUGGAAUAAUGGAAUAGGACUUCGGUUCUAUUUCGUUUGGUUUUCGGAUCCGAAGUAAUGAUCAAAAGAGACAGGCGGGGACGUUUGUACGGCUGCGCUAGAGGUGAAAUUCAUGGACCGUAGCCAGACAAACUAAAGCGAAAGCAUUCGUCAAGCAUGUUUUCAUUGGCCAUGAGCGAAAGNCAGAGGCUCGAAGACGAUCAGAUACCGUCCUAGUUCUGACCAUAAACGAUGCCAACUGACGAUCCGUGGUGGUAGUAAUGUUACCUUCCCCACGGGCAGUCCCCGGGAAACCUUUAAGUGUUUGGGUUCCGGGGAAGUAUGGUUGCAAAGCUGAAACUUAAAGGAAUUGACGGAAGGCACCACCAGGAGUGGCAUGCGGCUUAAUUUGACUCAACACGGGAAAACUCACCCGGGCCGGACACUAUGAGGAUUGACAGAUUGAGAGCUCUUUCUUGAUUUGGUGGAUGGUGGUGCAUGGCCGUUCUUAGUUGGUGGAGCGAUUUGUCUGGUUAAUUCCGAUAACGAACGAGACUCCAGCCUGCUAAUUAGUGCGUUUGUCCACUGCACCUGGGUAGGUGAUGUUGGAUGACGCCAUUUACCAUAGGCGCCUCGGUCCUGCUUCACCCAUUCCUGCUGUCGUGCUACUGCUCUACCCUCUACCUCUGCCACUGCCUCUGCCUAUGCCUAUCCUUCCCUGCUCCUACUCCUGCUCCUGCUCUGCUACCUGGUUGGUUGCAUGGUUGUUGGGAGUGGAGUGGAGUGGAGUGGAGUGGAGUGCAGUGCAGUGGAGGGUGGGGGUUUGGGGGUGGGGUAAUGCGGGGUUAGCGGCGGACGGGAGGGGUAGUAUGGAGUGGGCUUGACGCUUGUGGUUGGUUAGUCUAGCGUUGGCUCCGGGUGUGGCGCGAAUGCUUACUUCUUAGAGGGACAAGCGGGAGAAGCCGCACGAAAUAGAGCAAUAACAGGUCUGUGAUGCCCUUAGAUGUCCGGGGCCGCACGCGCGCUACAAUGACGGUGUCAGCGAGUCAGACCUUCUGGCCCGAAAGGGUUGGGCAAACUGGUCAAUCACCGUCGUGACAGGGAUCGGGGCUUGGAAUUGUUCUCCGUGAACGAGGAAUUCCUAGUAAGUGCAAGUCAUAAGCUUGCGCUGAUUACGUCCCUGCCCUUUGUACACACCGCCCGUCGCUACUACCGAUUGAAUGGUUUAGUAAGGUCCUUGGAUUGGCNUCAUUGC
Molecule: ribosomal RNA, 1510 nt
Filed under: Taenia crassiceps
Lineage: Eukaryota; Metazoa; Platyhelminthes; Cestoda; Cyclophyllidea; Taeniidae
Description: SSU rRNA
Rfam family: Eukaryotic small subunit ribosomal RNA
Source: RNAcentral